GAAUCAUGAUAACUUCGCGGAUCGCACGGCCUUGCGCUGGCGAUGGUUCAUUCAAAUUUCUGCCCUAUCAACUUUCGACGGCUGGGUAUUGGCCAGCCGUGGUGACAACGGGUAACGGAGGGUUAGGGCUCGACCCCGGAGAAGGAGCCUGAGAGACGGCUACUACAUCCAAGGAAGGCAGCAGGCGCGCAAAUUACCCAAUCCCGACACGGGGAGGUAGUGACAAUAAAUACUGAUCCAGGGCUCUUUUGGGUCUUGGAAUUGGAAUGAGUACAAUUUAAAUCCCUUAACGAGGAACAAUUGGAGGGCAAGUCUGGUGCCAGCAGCCGCGGUAAUUCCAGCUCCAAUAGCGUAUAUUAAAGUUGUUGAGGUUAAAAAGCUCGUAGUUGAACCUUGGGCCUGGCUGGCCGGUCCGCCUCACCGCGUGCACUGGUCCGGCCGGGCCUUUCCCUCUGGGGAACCUCAUGCCCUUCACUGGGUGUGCUGGGGAACCAGGACUUUUACUCUGAACAAAUCAGAUUGCUCAAAGAAGGCUCUCGCUCGAAUGCAUUAGCAUGGAAUAAUAGAAUAGGACGCGCGGUCCUAUUUUGUUGGUUUCUAGGACCGCCGUAAUGAUUAAUAGGGACAGUGGGGGGCAUCCGUAUUCAGUUGUCAGAGGUGAAAUUUUUGGAUUUAAUGAAGACGAACUACUGAGAAAGCAUUUGCCAAGGAUGUUUUCAUUAAUCAGGAACGAAAGUUAGGGGAUCGAAGACGAUCAGAUACCGUCGUAGUCUUAACCAUAAACUAUGCCGAUUAGGGAUCGGAGGAUG
This 809-nucleotide ribosomal RNA is filed under the name Cryptophiale hamulata. Its description in RNAcentral is "SSU rRNA". It matches the Rfam family "Eukaryotic small subunit ribosomal RNA", at positions 248 to 1062 of the family's 1831-position model. The record is from RNAcentral. Lineage: Eukaryota; Fungi; Ascomycota.